Molecule: long non-coding RNA, 610 nt
Organism: Syngnathus typhle (broad-nosed pipefish)
Lineage: Eukaryota; Metazoa; Chordata; Actinopteri; Syngnathiformes; Syngnathidae
Exons: 2
Source: RefSeq, a predicted model, not a curated record
CUCACAUUUCACCUGAGUAAGGUGCCUUCAAGGCCUGAUCCUUUCCAAGCUUUUGAUAGCUCACUCUAAUAUCACCCGUGCAAAGUUUGCUGACGAUCAUGCAUAUUAGAGGAGGGAGACGUCUAAACCUGCAAGACACUGGUUUUGUAGGACAGAAAUUUGACACCAGUUUCUUGAGUAUUUCUCUAGCUUUAUUGUCUUAGUCAUUGUAGCCUAGAUCGACAUUUCAACAGCUAGUACUAAUUUGUCAUUUUCAUUACAGGAUCAAAUGGUAAUAAAGGUGGUCAGGUGGCGAGAGGCGAACAUUUUUGUCCUAACGGUUGGACAGCGGGUGUCUCUUACGCACCUGAAAACAUCGUGUUCCGGUGGCCUGGAGCUCCACUCCACCGAAAAUACUGAGAUCAAGGAACUGGAACAAGAGCCAUUUCGAUUUGUGGCCUUUAAAAUAAAAGGUGAAGACGUGGAGCUUUUGGACGCCACCAAUGCCACCAAAAAGGUUCCAUUGACAGUGUGGAAAGAAAGAUUCCCCGAAGGCCCUAAUCUUACCCCAGAGGGGCUUUUGUGGUAAUUUUUUUCUUUUGUUCUAUUGUUUGUAUUUCUUGUUUGUUGU